RNAcentral lists this microRNA precursor (89 nucleotides) under Canis lupus familiaris (dog). RNAcentral's name for it is "mir-8799 microRNA precursor family". It matches the Rfam family "mir-8799 microRNA precursor family". RNAcentral also lists the same sequence under 3 other names. The record is from Rfam by way of RNAcentral. Lineage: Eukaryota; Metazoa; Chordata; Mammalia; Carnivora; Canidae.
CGGGGGAGGCCAGAUCCUGGGCUGUGUCCCGGCGCCCUGUGCUCCGGGGCCUGCGCUGUUGGAUUCGCGCUCCCGCCCCGCAGCCCCCU